AUCCCACCCAUGUUUUGCGCUGGUGAGUUUCCCCGUGUUGAGUCAAAUUAAGCCGCAGGCUCCACUCCUGGUGGUGCCCUUCCGUCAAUUCCUUUAAGUUUCAGCCUUGCGACCAUACUCCCCCCGGAACCCAAAGACUUUGAUUUCUCAUAAGGUGCUGAUCGGGCUUGAGAGACCCGACCAAUCCCUAGUCGGAAUAGUUUAUGGUUAAGACUAGGACGGUAUCUGAUCGUCUUUGAUCCCCUAACUUUCGUUCUUGAUUAAUGAAAACGCUCUUGUGAAAAGCGUUCGCUUUAGUUUGUCUUUAAUAAAUCCAAGAAUUUCACCUCUGACUAUUAAAUACAAAUCACCCCGGCCGUUCCUUUUAAUCAUUACUAUAGCCCAAUAACCAACAAAAUGGACCAUAGUCCUAUUCCAUUAUUCCAUGCUUGUGUAUUCAAGGCGAUUGCCUGCCUGGAACACUCUAAUUUUUUCAAAGUAAAGUGCCUGAUCCUCACACCGACCACUAAAGGCCGUAUAUGGUUCUCAGACGGAUGAACGCUUCUACCUCGACCGAAGCCGCUGUACAAACGCCCAGAAGUUCAACUACGAGCUUUUUAACUGCAACAACUUUAAUAUACGCUAUUGGAGCUGGAAUUACCGCGGCUGCUGGCACCAGACUUGCCCUCCAAUUGUUCCUUGCUAAGAGAUUUAAAUUGUGCUCAUUGCAAUCCCAAAGUCCGUAAGGACCCGGGUUGUUAUUUCUUGUCACUACCUCCCUGAAUUAGGAUUGGGUAAUUUACGCGCCUGCUGCCUUCCUUAGAUGUGGUAGCCGUUUCUCAGGCUCCCUCUCCGGAAUCGAACCCUAAUUCCCCGUUACCCGUGACUGCCAUGGUAGUCCAAUACACUACCAUCGAAAGCUGAUAGGGCAGAAACUUGAAUGAUUUAGCGCAACGUAGUCGCGCUCCGAUCAGUUACUAUGAAUCAUCACAAUAGACCCGAAGGAAUAUUGGUUUGUUAUCUAAUAAAUACAACCCUUCCGAAAAGUUGGGUUUUGCCGCAUGUAUUAGCCCUAGAAUUACCACGGUUAUCCAUGUAGAAUUCAAUUAUCAAGUAAACUAUAACUG
RNAcentral lists this ribosomal RNA (1106 nucleotides) under Colepidae sp. cPFEU3. RNAcentral describes it as "partial 18S ribosomal RNA". Lineage: Eukaryota; Ciliophora; Prostomatea; Prorodontida; Colepidae. The record is from RNAcentral.